RNAcentral lists this small RNA (134 nucleotides) under Escherichia coli. RNAcentral's name for it is "RtT sRNA". It matches the Rfam family "RtT RNA". From Rfam's summary of the family: This family represents a bacterial cis-regulatory element known as RtT RNA. The record is from RNAcentral. Lineage: Bacteria; Pseudomonadati; Pseudomonadota; Gammaproteobacteria; Enterobacterales; Enterobacteriaceae.
UGCAUCUGCAACUCAUGAGGAUGAAAACCUCCGGGGGCAGGGAGGUUCGACUCGAGCGAAGCGAGAGAACGUUGCGCCAGCAACGGCCCGCAGGGCGAGCCACGAAGUGGCGAGUAAUCCUCUAUCACCGACCA